Molecule: non-coding RNA, 165 nt
Filed under: human gut metagenome
Description: Lysine riboswitch
Rfam family: Lysine riboswitch aptamer
About the family: Riboswitches are metabolite binding domains within certain messenger RNAs that serve as precision sensors for their corresponding targets. Allosteric rearrangement of mRNA structure is mediated by ligand binding, and this results in modulation of gene expression.
Source: RNAcentral
UGUAGAUAGAGGCGCGGUAUCCAUCAGUAGCUUUUCCGUAUUGUCAGGCAGCUUUGGAAAGUGAAAGGGGCCACCGCCGAAGCCCGCGGAGAAUGCCUGUUCUCCCACGGCUGGGUCGGCAGAGAAUAUCUGACGGACUGUCACAUAGUUUUGUGAAGCGCUAUC